CAGUAAAUAGUUUAAUAAAAAUUUUAAUUUUGGGGAUUAAAGAUGAGUAUGUUAGAGUUAUUUUUUACUGA
Molecule: transfer RNA, 71 nt
Filed under: Nerthra indica
Lineage: Eukaryota; Metazoa; Arthropoda; Insecta; Hemiptera; Gelastocoridae
Description: tRNA-Pro
Source: RNAcentral